GAUGAAGAACGUAGCGAAACGCGAUAAGUAAUGUGAAUUGCAGAAUCCAGUGAAUCAUCGAAUCUUUGAACGCACAUUGCGCCCGCCAGCAUUCUGGCGGGCAUGCCUGUUCGAGCGUCAUUUCAACCCUCGACCUCCCCUUGGGGAGGUCGGCGUUGGGGACCGGCAGCACACCGCCGGCCCUGAAAUGGAGUGGCGGCCCGUCCGCGGCGACCUCUGCGCAGUAAUACAGCUCGCACCGGGACCCCGACGCGGCCACGCCGUAAAACACCCAACUUUUGAACGUUGACCUCGAAUCAGGUAGGACUACCCGCUGAACUUAAGCAUAUCAAUAAGCGGAGGA
Molecule: unclassified non-coding RNA, 343 nt
Filed under: soil metagenome
Description: partial contains 5.8S ribosomal RNA, internal transcribed spacer 2, and large subunit ribosomal RNA
Rfam family: 5.8S ribosomal RNA (bases 1-120)
Source: RNAcentral